RNAcentral lists this ribosomal RNA (327 nucleotides) under uncultured eukaryote. RNAcentral describes it as "partial 18S ribosomal RNA". It matches the Rfam family "Eukaryotic small subunit ribosomal RNA", at positions 1470 to 1796 of the family's 1831-position model. The record is from RNAcentral.
CCCUUAGAUGUUCUGGGCCGCACGCGUGCUACACUGAGUGGAUCAGCGGGUCAGGUUGCGCGAAAGCGUUUCCUAAUCUUUAAAUCCGCUCGUGAUGGGGAUUGACGGUUGCAAUUUUCUGUCAUGAACGAGGAAUACCUUGUAAGCGCGGGUCAUCAUCCCGCGCUGAAUACGUCCCUGCCCUUUGUACACACCGCCCGUCGCUCCUACCGAUUGGAUGGUUUAGUGAGACCCACGGAUUGGUCCCAGCAUGGCGGGUUACCGCCGCGCUGGCGCGCCGAGAAGUCGGUCGAACUUGAUUAUCUAGAGGAAGUAAAAGUCGUAACA